AGGAUGAACGCUGGCGGCGUGCCUAAGACAUGCAAGUCGAGUGGGUUUAGACCCACGGCAAACGGGUGAGUAAUACCUAGGAAUGUCCCUUUUGUUGAGGAUAACCAGUCGAAAGAUUGGAUAAUACUCAAUGUGAUCGCAAGAUUAAAGUCGCAAGACGCAAAAGGCGCAGCCUGGGCACCAUCAGCUAGUUGGUAAGGUAAUGGCUUACCAAGGCUAUGACGGUUAGGGGCCCCCGAGAGGGGGAACCCCCACACUGGAACUGCGACACGGUCCAGACUCCUACGGGAGGCAGCAGUUUGGAAUUUUGGACAAUGGACGAAAGUCUGAUCCAGCGACGCCGCGUGGACGAUGAAGGCCUUCGGGUUGUAAAGUCCUUUUGCUCGGGAACAAUUUUGAGCGUACCGAGAGAAUAAGAGGUUGCUAACUCUGUGCCAGCAGCCGC
This 445-nucleotide ribosomal RNA is filed under the name uncultured bacterium. RNAcentral describes it as "SSU rRNA". It matches the Rfam family "Bacterial small subunit ribosomal RNA", at positions 26 to 518 of the family's 1533-position model. The record is from RNAcentral.